RNAcentral lists this ribosomal RNA (493 nucleotides) under uncultured Streptococcus sp. Its description in RNAcentral is "bacterial SSU rRNA". It matches the Rfam family "Bacterial small subunit ribosomal RNA", at positions 30 to 507 of the family's 1533-position model. The record is from RNAcentral. Lineage: Bacteria; Bacillati; Bacillota; Bacilli; Lactobacillales; Streptococcaceae.
CGAACGCUGGCGGCGUGCCUAAUACAUGCAAGUAGAACGCUGAAGGAGGAGCUUGCUUCUCCGGAUGAGUUGCGAACGGGUGAGUAACGCGUAGGUAACCUGCCUGGUAGCGGGGGAUAACUAUUGGAAACGAUAGCUAAUACCGCAUAACAGUAGAUAUUGCAUGAUAUCUGCUUGAAAGGUGCAAUUGCAUCACUACCAGAUGGACCUGCGUUGUAUUAGCUAGUUGGUGAGGUAACGGCUCACCAAGGCGACGAUACAUAGCCGACCUGAGAGGGUGAUCGGCCACACUGGGACUGAGACACGGCCCAGACUCCUACGGGAGGCAGCAGUAGGGAAUCUUCGGCAAUGGACGGAAGUCUGACCGAGCAACGCCGCGUGAGUGAAGAAGGUUUUCGGAUCGUAAAGCUCUGUUGUAAGAGAAGAACGAGUGUGAGAGUGAAAAGUUCACACUGUGACGGUAUCUUACCAGAAAGGGACGGCUAACUACGUG